GCUAGGGAUGUGGCUCAGUGGUAGAGUGUUUACCUAAUAUGCAUAAGGCCCUGGAUUGGAUCCCCAGCCUUAGGG
Molecule: transfer RNA, 75 nt
Filed under: Marmota monax (woodchuck)
Lineage: Eukaryota; Metazoa; Chordata; Mammalia; Rodentia; Sciuridae
Description: tRNA.Ile
Source: RNAcentral